RNAcentral lists this unclassified non-coding RNA (355 nucleotides) under Hevea brasiliensis (rubber tree). The record is from RNAcentral. Lineage: Eukaryota; Viridiplantae; Streptophyta; Magnoliopsida; Malpighiales; Euphorbiaceae.
UAAUGUAUAACUUCAAUGCAAACUAACCAGAGAAUAAGAAUAUUAAUAAAUAGAAAAGACAGUUAAACCACUCUAACAAUAGGUUCUUAAUAAUAAGAAGAUAAAAUAAGAUUUCUGAUUAGGGCAAAAUGUCCUUUGCUCUUUUCCCUUUUAGCACAAAGUGACUUUAAAAUCAUAUUCAGCAAAAUCAGACAUUAAAGGCCUUCUAAUGCAAUAAUCUUAUGAAAUAUUUGUUGUACUAAGAACUUUUGAAAAAGUAAUUAAUAAAGAAAGAAAAUUUGGCAAUUAACUAAAAUAAUGAACCACAAUUUCCCCAAAGAAUAGUUGCAGCAAUGCGCAUCCAGUGUGAGGUGGG